Long non-coding RNA from Nerophis ophidion (straightnose pipefish), 1328 nucleotides. RefSeq lists it as uncharacterized. Lineage: Eukaryota; Metazoa; Chordata; Actinopteri; Syngnathiformes; Syngnathidae. The transcript is spliced from 4 exons. The record is from RefSeq and is a predicted model, not a curated record.
UCGAGCAAUCCCGCCUAUAAAGCACUUUUAAAAAAACAUCCAAAUUGUCAAAAUUGUUACUGACAUAUCGGUAAUGUUUGGGUUUUCCUUUAUUUAGAAUCACUUCCUGUGCCUGUGCUUUUAUUUUGUCAGUGUUUCCUGUUUGGCCUCUGUGUUGUGAAGCACCUUUACUUUCCAUGCCAUGCCCUGUCAGCACACCUGUGCCUCGUUUAAUGAGUUCUGUUUGGUUCCACCUGGGUCCCUCCUUCAGUGCCGGAUCAUUCUUCUUUUGAUACAAAUGCUGAGUGUGCUGUUUUUGUUUGUUUCCUGCUUCCUUGCGAGAAGAUACAUUAAUUUUACUCGCAUCCUUUGGGUCCCGCGGCCCCGAACGGGACAAGCGGUAGAAAAUGGAUUUAUGGAUGGGGGUCACGCUGCAAGCCUUGCCCAACAGUUCGUGAGACAAACACCUCCAUUGACGUGGAAUAUACAUAAUAACAGGAAGAUAAAAACAUCCCAUCAGUCGGCAGCCCAAUGAGAGAAGACAUUCUACAACCACCGCAUCCUUCUCCCGCCAGCCAAAACGUUUCCAGUCUCGUCCUUGCAUCUGUUUCUUCUUCUUCGUCUUCUUCUUCUGCAAACAGAGAAGGCCGGCGAGGAGGCGCCAUGGACAAACAAGACUGAAGAGAUAGCAUCUCCAACCCAGGCCGUGCCAGACCAAGACUACAAUGGCUCCUCUCAGACGGCCUGGGAACACGUGCCUCGGACCUUGACCCUCUCCCCAUCCCCCCCGGCUGUAAACAAGGUUUCCAGUCCAUGAUGAGGAGCAGAUCCCAGUUCCCACUCCACACAGUGAAAGAGUUCACUGGAAUACCAAAUACCUGUCGGUUCAUUUGGCGCAAAUCCCAUUUUGUGAGGGAAGACCACCAGUUCUGUUUGGCUGGAGUUCAAACUCAAACAUCUCCAGACAAAGACCACGGACCACGUAGUGAUCUACUCUUUUGUUGGCCCUUACUUCUACUGAUUUUAUUCAGUGCUACCUCAGUUUUUGACUGUUUGUCCAAAGACUCUCUGAUGAGAUUUACCUAACAUUUGUUGUUACUCAGCCGGUGUUUGUGGGUCCGAGGGACCCGUUGCAUUUUGUGGCUUUUAAUGCCGCACAAUCAAACACUUUUAUGUUGAAAUACUGAACAGAUGUUUACCUUAUCCCAAUAAACAUCUGUUCAGUAUUUUAACAUAAAAGUGUUUGAUUUGACUCUUCAUCUAAAGAUAGUGUGUUUAAUGUAUUGUAUGAAAAGCAAUUGUUUGAAUACAUUUUCAUUAUUAUGUCAUAAAUAAUUAACAAUAAAGAC